Molecule: ribosomal RNA, 492 nt
Filed under: uncultured bacterium
Lineage: Bacteria
Description: partial 16S ribosomal RNA
Rfam family: Bacterial small subunit ribosomal RNA
Source: RNAcentral
GAUGAACGCUAGCUACAGGCUUAACACAUGCAAGUCGAGGGGAAACGGCAUCGAAAGCUUGCUUUUGAUGGGCGUCGACCGGCGCACGGGUGAGUAACGCGUAUCCAACCUGCCCAUCACUUGGGAAUAACCUUGCGAAAGUAAGACUAAUGCCCAAUGACAUCCCACGAAGGCAUCCGAAUGGGAUUAAAGAUUUAUCGGUGAUGGAUGGGGAUGCGUCUGAUUAGCUUGUUGGCGGGGUGACGGCCCACCAAGGCAACGAUCAGUAGGGGUUCUGAGAGGAAGGUCCCCCACAUUGGAACUGGGACACAGUCCAAACUCCUACGGGAGGCAGCAGUGAGGAAUAUUGGUCAAUGGGCGAGAGCCUGAACCAGCCAAGUAGCGUGCAGGAUGACGGCCCUAUGGGUUGUAAACUGCUUUUAUAAGGGAAUAAAGUGGGUCACGUGUGACUUUUUGCAUGUACCUUAUGAAUAAGGACCGGCUAAUUCCGUG